This 389-nucleotide long non-coding RNA is filed under the name Pan troglodytes (chimpanzee). Its description in RNAcentral is "long non-coding RNA NONPTRT004072". The record is from RNAcentral. Lineage: Eukaryota; Metazoa; Chordata; Mammalia; Primates; Hominidae.
CAAGACCCCAUCUGUACAAAAAGUAAAAAUAUUAGUGAGCAAAGUGGUGUGCACCUGCAGUUUUAGCUGCUUGGAAGGCUGAGGUGGAAGGAUUGCUUGAGCCUGGUAGUUUGAGGCUGCAGUGAGCCAGAUGGAGCCACUGCUCUCCAGCCUGGGCAAAAGAGUGAGAGAUUGUAACAGACAUAAUGAAAACCACUUAGGAUUAGCAAAGGUUGAUUAUUGUUUCACAAUGUGGUUGUUCUGUCUUUGGGAAACCAAGACAGACUGCAAGUCUGGUCACAUGGUGGUUUGGUGUAAGAGACUUUCUUGCUCCAUUGUGGAACUGGGUGUGUGUCCCCAUGUCUCAACAACUGCUGAGGCCUUCAUUCUGGAUGAACAAAGCUGUAGAU